This 253-nucleotide ribosomal RNA is filed under the name uncultured bacterium. RNAcentral's name for it is "partial 16S ribosomal RNA". It matches the Rfam family "Bacterial small subunit ribosomal RNA", at positions 524 to 776 of the family's 1533-position model. The record is from RNAcentral.
UACGUAGGUGGCGAGCGUUGUCCGGAUUUACUUGGCGUAAAGGAUGCGUAGGUGGAAACUUAAGUGGGAUGUGAAAUCCCCGGGCUCAACCCUGGAACUGCAUUCCAAACUGGGUAUCUAGAGUGCAGGAGAGGAAAGCGGAAUUCCUAGUGUAGCGGUGAAAUGCGUAGAUAUUAGGAAGAACACCAGUGGCGAAGGCGGCUUUCUGGACUGUAACUGACACUGAGGCAUGAAAGCGUGGGGAGCAAACAGG